This 497-nucleotide ribosomal RNA is filed under the name uncultured bacterium. RNAcentral describes it as "partial 16S ribosomal RNA". It matches the Rfam family "Bacterial small subunit ribosomal RNA", at positions 28 to 507 of the family's 1533-position model. The record is from RNAcentral.
GACGAACGCUGGCGGCGUGCCUAAUACAUGCAAGUUGAGCGCUGAAGGUUGGUACUUGUACCAAAUGGAUGAGCAGCAAACGGGUGAGUAACGCGUGGGGAAUCUGCCUUUGAGCGGGGGACAACAUUUGGAAACGAAUGCUAAUACCGCAUAAAAACUUUAAACACAAGUUUUAAGUUUGAAAGAUGCAAUUGCAUCACUCAAAGAUGAUCCCGCGUUGUAUUAGCUAGUUGGUGAGGUAAAGGCUCACCAAGGCGAUGAUACAUAGCCGACCUGAGAGGGUGAUCGGCCACAGUGGGACUGAGACACGGCCCAAACUCCUACGGGAGGCAGCAGUAGGGAAUCUUCGGCAAUGGACGAAAGUCUGACCGAGCAACGCCGCGUGAGUGAAGAAGGUUUUCGGAUCGUAAAACUCUGUUGGUAGAGAAGAACGUUGGUGAGAGUGGAAAGCUCAUCAAGUGACGGUAACUACCCAGAAAGGGACGGCUAACUACGUG